UUAUCGGAGAGUUUGAUCCUGGCUCAGGACGAACGCUGGCGGCGUGCCUAAUACAUGCAAGUCGAGCGGACAGAUGGGAGCUUGCUCCCUGAUGUUAGCGGCGGACGGGUGAGUAACACGUGGGUAACCUGCCUGUAAGACUGGGAUAACUCCGGGAAACCGGGGCUAAUACCGGAUGGUUGUUUGAACCGCAUGGUUCAAACAUAAAAGGUGGCUUCGGCUACCACUUACAGAUGGACCCGCGGCGCAUUAGCUAGUUGGUGAGGUAACGGCUCACCAAGGCAACGAUGCGUAGCCGACCUGAGAGGGUGAUCGACCACACUGGGACUGAGACACGACCAGACUCCUACGGGAGGCAGCAGUAGGGAAUCUUCCGCAAUGGACGAAAGUCUGACGGAGCAACGCCGCGUGAGUGAUGAAGGUUUUCGGAUCGUAAAGCUCUGUUGUUAGGGAAGAACAAGUACCGUUCGAAUAGGGCGGUACCUUGACGGUACCUAACCAGAAAGCCACGGCUAACUACGUGCCAGCAGCCGCGGUAAUACGUAGGUGGCAAGCGUUGUCCGGAAUUAUUGGGCGUAAAGGGCUCGCAGGCGGUUUCUUAAGUCUGAUGUGAAAGCCCCCGGCUCAACCGGGGAGGGUCAUUGGAAACUGGGGAACUUGAGUGCAGAAGAGGAGAGUGGAAUUCCACGUGUAGCGGUGAAAUGCGUAGAGAUGUGGAGGAACACCAGUGGCGAAGGCGACUCUCUGGUCUGUAACUGACGCUGAGGAGCGAAAGCGUGGGGAGCGAACAGGAUUAGAUACCCUGGUAGUCCACGCCGUAAACGAUGAGUGCUAAGUGUUAGGGGGUUUCCGCCCCUUAGUGCUGCAGCUAACGCAUUAAGCACUCCGCCUGGGGAGUACGGUCGCAAGACUGAAACUCAAAGGAAUUGACGGGGGCCCGCACAAGCGGUGGAGCAUGUGGUUUAAUUCGAAGCAACGCGAAGAACCUUACCAGGUCUUGACAUCCUCUGACAAUCCUAGAGAUAGGACGUCCCCUUCCGGGGGCAGAGUGACAGGUGGUGCAUGGUUGUCGUCAGCUCGUGUCGUGAGAUGUUGGGUUAAGUCCCGCAACGAGCGCAACCCUUGAUUUUAGUUGCCAGCAUUCAGUUGGGCACUCUAAGGUGACUGCCGGUGACAAACCGGAGGAAGGUGGGGAUGACGUCAAAUCAUCAUGCCCCUUAUGACCUGGGCUACACACGUGCUACAAUGGACAGAACAAAGGGCAGCGAAACCGCGAGGUUAAGCCAAUCCCACAAAUCUGUUCUCAGUUCGGAUCGCAGUCUGCAACUCGACUGCGUGAAGCUGGAAUCGCUAGUAAUCGCGGAUCAGCAUGCCGCGGUGAAUACGUUCCCGGCCUUGUACACACCGCCCGUCACACCACGAGAGUUUGUAACACCCGAAGUCGGUGAGGUAACCUUUUAGGAGCCAGCCGCCGAAGGUGGGACAGAUGAUUGGGGUGAAGUCGUAACAAGGUAGCCGUAUCGGAAGGUGCGGCUGGAUCACCUCCUUU
RNAcentral lists this ribosomal RNA (1549 nucleotides) under Bacillus subtilis. RNAcentral's name for it is "16S ribosomal RNA". It matches the Rfam family "Bacterial small subunit ribosomal RNA". The record is from RNAcentral. Lineage: Bacteria; Bacillati; Bacillota; Bacilli; Caryophanales; Bacillaceae.